CAAGGAAUUUUGCGCAAUGGGGGAAACCCUGACGCAGCAACGCCGCGUGGGCGAAGAAGGCCUUCGGGUUGUAAAGCCCUUUUCUCGGGGAAGAUGAUGACGGUACCCGAGGAAUAAGUCUCGGCUAACUACGUGCCAGCAGCCGCGGUAAUACGUAGGAGGCAAGCGUUGUCCGGAUUUACUGGGCGUAAAGGGCUCGCAGGCGGUUCGCCAAGUCCGGUGUGAAAUCUCCCGGCUCAACUGGGAGGGUGCGCUGGAAACUGGCGAACUUGAGGGCAUCAGGGGAGAGUGGAAUUCCCGGUGUAGUGGUGAAAUGCGUAGAUAUCGGGAAGAACACCAGUGGCGAAGGCGGCUCUCUGGGGUGCAUCUGACGCUGAGGAGCGAAAGCGUGGGGAGCGAACCGGAUUAGAUACCCCCGUAGUCC
Molecule: ribosomal RNA, 424 nt
Filed under: uncultured prokaryote
Description: bacterial SSU rRNA
Rfam family: Bacterial small subunit ribosomal RNA
Source: RNAcentral